UUUUUGUUUUGUAAUUUCGGCCAAAAAAGAAAUGUAUUUUAAUAAGAAUAUCGAAAUAAAUAUCUGACUGUAAUUAGUUUCGUGGUUAAUGGAACUUAUUGCAACUAUUUAGAUAUGUAUGCCUUUCGAGUGACUAUUUUUGGAUCGAAUUUAAUGUAGAUCAUGUAUACAAAAAUUAAAGGGGGGUAAGCUGCAGAUCAAUAAGACUUUGUGUAGAUGCGACAUGUCUUAAACAAAAUACAGUAGAAAAAAACUUGGAAGGGGGAGGGAAAGUUAAAGAUUGAAAAGUGGAAGCAUUUUUU
RNAcentral lists this long non-coding RNA (302 nucleotides) under Mytilus galloprovincialis (Mediterranean mussel). Lineage: Eukaryota; Metazoa; Mollusca; Bivalvia; Mytilida; Mytilidae. The record is from RNAcentral.